ACCAGUUGACUAAAUCUGUUGUUUUCCUCUUCAAUAUACACAGAAGUAUGAAUUUGAUUUGAUUUUGAUUUGAUUUGAUUUGAUAACAGACUACAUGUUUUAAAAUAUAAUAUUUAUUCUUGCAGAUGAAAACCUGGCAACAAAUACAUAUGACGAUAUAACUCUAAGGAGAGUCCCCACAGAAAAUGAUACAGGCUAGAUGGACUAGUUGUCGAAAAGUCAAGCAAGAUGUGUCAGAUGCUCUUAAAACAAAUAAAGAUUAAAAUUCUAAUACAUUUAUAAAACAACUAGAGCUCAAUCCAUCGUAGUCCAACAAGAUGUCAUCCACGUGUGACGAUUGCAAGGUCGACACAAUCCAUCGCGCGUGCAUGGGUUUUAGCACGCUAAUCCUGAGGUGGAUCGUUUCUUUGUUUUGACAUCCGUGGGAUGUGGCAGUCCUGUUUGCCGUUUUAUGGUGAAAGUGACGUACUUAUACAUUCUUAGGAAGAUGCAGUUGUAAUGGUACAUGUAUGCUAAUGUUUAGCCAGAUUAAAAAGUAUGUAACUGGUAUCCCAACG
This is a long non-coding RNA of Gigantopelta aegis, 557 nucleotides long. RefSeq lists it as uncharacterized. Lineage: Eukaryota; Metazoa; Mollusca; Gastropoda; Neomphalida; Peltospiridae. The transcript is spliced from 3 exons. The record is from RefSeq and is a predicted model, not a curated record.